UUGGCAAGAUGUCCGCUUCAGGU
Molecule: unclassified non-coding RNA, 23 nt
Filed under: Chlamydomonas reinhardtii
Lineage: Eukaryota; Viridiplantae; Chlorophyta; Chlorophyceae; Chlamydomonadales; Chlamydomonadaceae
Description: small RNA Cre_3979
Source: RNAcentral